UUUUGUAUUCUAUGAUGAGAUUUUUUUUCUGUCCGAUAUUGCUUCUGUCGAAUCUAAAAUUUAGUUCCAGUUUCCUAGAUUUUGAGGGUUGGUUUCAAUGAUGCGUGCUUAUGGGCUUUCUUAGGUGUCUGGGAUGCUGUGCCAGGUAACCUGAUGCUGGCGUAGGAGCAGCACCUGGGGCUGGAGCUCAAAAUUGCAAAGUUGUGGAUUAUGAGGCAGAGAUUGAUAAUUACAUAGUUGUGAAAUUUAUAUAUAUCCAACUGCAGUCUGCAUUCCUAUUCUGCAUAAACUUCUAUACAAACUCAAUUAAAUAUAUAUAUAUCUAUUACUAUAAGGAGCAAAUGCCGAACUUUGUGGGCCGCUGGAUCUGGCCAAUCGGGGCCAUCCGAUGGGGGGGUAACUGUAAAGGGGUUAUUUCUUUAACCAUGUGUUAGUGAAUAAUCGCGCUGAUGUUUGCUCCUGGCCAAUGGGAGGCGGCCAAGCCGCGUGUGGCGAGAGAGGAAGGCCCGGCAACGCGUGGCACAUGCAAAGUGUUGACUGGAGAUUGCUGUUCCAUGGCAUCACUUUGGGCAGGAUCAAGUCCGUCAUGGCCCUUGAAGCAUGCUGUGGAUCGCAAUUUCUUCCGGUAGGUAAGCAAAUCCACUCCCAAAUUGUUGCUGCUGGCUGGGAUUCGAGCUUGAUUGUGGAUCGCAAUUUCUUCCGGUAGGUAAGCAAAUCCACUCCCAAAUCGUUGCUGCUGGCUGGGAUUCGAGCUUGAUCGUGUCGUGAUCUAGUUUGGUUUUGUUUUGUAUGUUUUUCUAGGGUUUUUGAGACGGUGAGAGAACCCCUGCCGCUACUGCUGAUUUGCGAUCCAAAUCGGAGGCGCUGUGUCAACGCUGGUGUCUUUGCUCCUGAGAACCCCAUUGCAAGUUGUUAUUUGUGAGGAGUUCCAUCAAAGCAAGGAAAUGGGAUGAGGCGAUUUAAGCUCUUAAAUGCUUUAAAGCACAUUCACUCAGCACAGCCUUACUCACCUGGACGUGAAGCCUGACAACAUCUACAUCUGCAAUUGCCGCCACGCAACGGGAUGAUCCUCCAUUCGAGCUCGCAGAUCUGAGGCGCCGCACUGCUCCACGAAUUCCCAGGCUGAUCAAUUGGAGCGCGCGCCUCGUAGAUCCCAAUUUGGUGGACGAACAUGGCGCUUGCAGUGAGGUAGAAAAAAUGUAAGUCUUGCGAGAAGACACUGUAUCAGGUAACACACAUCGAUCUGCUCUUUUUUGGCAUCACCCGAUUGCAUCGAAAAGGUUAGUUUUUAUGCCUAUCCAUACCCCUCAGUAAAUAUCUUUUGUUUUCUAUCUGCCCUAAUAAUUGAUCUCCAUUUCCAAAAGAAACUGUUGAAAAUAAUGUCAUGCCUUCAACAUGUACUGAAUGCUAUUCGACACAGACAUACACAUUCCACGUACAAUGAUAAUGUUGAAGACACUAACCAGCACCAGCAUACAUAUAGCUUUUACAACAGUAAUAUUCAAGAGGAUACAGAGAAUUGACAUCAAACAAAUCUUAAUAAUCA
Long non-coding RNA from Selaginella moellendorffii, 1546 nucleotides. RefSeq lists it as uncharacterized. The record is from RefSeq and is a predicted model, not a curated record. The transcript is spliced from 3 exons. Lineage: Eukaryota; Viridiplantae; Streptophyta; Lycopodiopsida; Selaginellales; Selaginellaceae.